Vidua chalybeata is the source of this 823-nucleotide long non-coding RNA. RefSeq lists it as uncharacterized. The record is from RefSeq and is a predicted model, not a curated record. The transcript has 3 exons. NCBI's taxonomy places the organism in Eukaryota, Metazoa, Chordata, Aves, Passeriformes, Viduidae.
UCCGCGGCCGCCCGAGCGGAGCGGCGGAUGACCUUGAGGCGCCGGCCGGCAGCAGAGAGGGAGGGAGCCCGGUGCAGAAGCCCCUCCCGAGCCCCACCGGGAGCGGAGCUGCCGCCCGGCGCUGUCGGGAAAAGCUCCUACUCUCAGCCGCGCCGAGGGGUCGGUCGUCAGGCUGGCUUCGGUUCCAGCUGGACAGCUGAUGGAGAGCCAUCAGGUCCAGUGUGGCAAUGCUGAAGCCCAGGAGCAGCGCUGGAAGCAUCUGUCCUGUGCUCUCUGGCAAGGAACAACAGCUACAGGUGGAGCUGGGAUGCAGCCACCACCAGGGUGUGAGAGGAAGUGACAUGGAUAUAUGGCCCAGAUCCCCAUACUGCACUGGACAGAGCUGACAGACGUGGGAGAAGCUCCUUUCCCUCAGUAAUUGUAAUCUUGCAGUGACAUAGUGCCAGAGACACAACUGGAGACAUUGAAAUAGAUACUGAGCAUGGGAAGAAAACUUGUGACUGGUAGUCAUUGAUGCCAAAAGAGACUUAUCUGUCUCCCUGCUGCUGCCCUCACAACCCAAAACCUUUCUUCCUACAAACCCAAAGCAACAGCUGCAGUGUGGGAUAGGGACCUAUUUCUUGCUCUGCAUGUGGUUCCUGUGAGUCCAUCCAGUAUCCAAGCUCUUCCCAAGUAAGCUUCCUUGCAUGAGAUUGUUCCCCUCCUGCUCAGAUGAACUGGAAGAAUGGGCAUCCUGCUGAGACAGAAAGUCAUCUCGAGCAAUAAAAGCAAAAAAUGAAACUGAUUUUAAAGUGUCAGCUGUUUUCAGAGCUAUCUAGUUUGU